UAUCUUUAGGGUUAGAUUUUGAAAUCUUACCUUCAUUUUUUUCUUUUUCAAAUUGACCCAUAUAUGUUUAGUAACUAUCUAAUAACUUGAUUUCUAAGUUUUUUUUUAAGUUUAAGAAAGUGUUUUUUUUUGCAUAUUUAAUUGAUUUUAGAGUCUCGAAGACUCACAUAAGACUUAAAAAGAAGUCUUUAGACAAAUCCCGCCUAAAUUUUAGUAGAAUUUAUGGUGCCCGCCAAAAUUUUGGAGUAAUUUAGGUUUCCUUCGUAAAUCAAAGUCUUCC
RNAcentral lists this long non-coding RNA (280 nucleotides) under Brassica rapa (field mustard). RNAcentral describes it as "long non-coding RNA (BRAP_LNC004328)". Lineage: Eukaryota; Viridiplantae; Streptophyta; Magnoliopsida; Brassicales; Brassicaceae. The record is from RNAcentral.